RNAcentral lists this ribosomal RNA (250 nucleotides) under uncultured bacterium. Its description in RNAcentral is "partial 16S ribosomal RNA". It matches the Rfam family "Bacterial small subunit ribosomal RNA", at positions 107 to 354 of the family's 1533-position model. The record is from RNAcentral.
UGAGUAACACGUAUGCGAACCUGCCUGCCACAGCCGGAUAAUCGGGAGAAAUUCCGUCUAAUACGGCAUAAUGCAUCGACGGGACAUCCUGUUGGUGCCAAAGGUUAAUUCCGGUGGCGGAUGGGCAUGCGUCGCAUUAGUUAGUUGGCGGUGUAACGGACCACCAAGACGACGAUGCGUAGGGGUUCUGAGAGGAAGGUCCCCCACACUGGUACUGAGACACGGACCAGACUCCUACGGGAGGCAGCAG